UACGGAGGAUGCGAGCGUUAUCCGGAUUUAUUGGGUUUAAAGGGUGCGCAGGCGGAUUUUUAAGUCAGCGGUCAAAUCGUGGGGCUCAACCCCAUCCAGCCGUUGAAACUGGCAGUCUCGAGUUGGAGAGAAGUAUGCGGAAUGCGCGGUGUAGCGGUGAAAUGCUUAGAUAUCACACAGAACACCGAUUGCGAAGGCAUCUGACGAAUCGGAGAUUGACGCUGAUGCACGAAAGCGUGGGUAUCGAACAGG
Molecule: ribosomal RNA, 252 nt
Filed under: uncultured bacterium
Lineage: Bacteria
Description: partial 16S ribosomal RNA
Rfam family: Bacterial small subunit ribosomal RNA
Source: RNAcentral